RNAcentral lists this long non-coding RNA (448 nucleotides) under Bos taurus (domestic cattle). Its description in RNAcentral is "long non-coding RNA NONBTAT012202". The record is from RNAcentral. Lineage: Eukaryota; Metazoa; Chordata; Mammalia; Artiodactyla; Bovidae.
UUGUGUACUGGCACUUACUUUUGAUGACUUAAUUUGGUGUAACUUGAAGACUUCUGUGUUCUAAGAGGAAAAAAGUAAAGCUCUAGCCUUCUUGUUCAUCCUCCCAAUUGGAAUUCAGGAGCCAAGCUACUAAGGUUUUGACACUGCUUAAAUGCCCCAAUUAUAUAGAUGAGACUUUGUCAUGAAACCAGUUCCUACCUAGUCUGAUUAAAAUAAAAGGUUAAACCAUUUUCAUGUUUUCAUUUGCACUUCAAGUGUUUACUUCUGAGAAUGAAAUAAAAUCAUUUAAGUAUUAUAUUUGGUAGAAUUCAUGUAAUUUUAAAGUAUGAGAGGAUCCAUUUUCUUCAAGGUAGAUUAAAAAUUACAGUGAUUUUCAUUGUCCUCAAUUCACAUCUCAGAUUUUUAAGUACUAUUGCAUUUUUGUUCAUUAUCUUCAUAUGACUCUGCU